Molecule: long non-coding RNA, 7563 nt
Filed under: Lynx pardinus (Iberian lynx)
Lineage: Eukaryota; Metazoa; Chordata; Mammalia; Carnivora; Felidae
Source: RNAcentral
AGAUCAUAUACUGAGAUUCACUGUAAUGUAAUGAAUAAUAAUUGGCAACUUCAACUGUUGAUGUGCUUUAAAGUUAAGAUUGUGAAGAUCCUAUACACUGUCAGUGUUUUGGUUUGUACUGCCAAUUUUUAAGAACUCAGCAAUUUUUUUUAAGUUCAUCUAUUUAUUUUGAGAGAGAGAGAGUGAAAGAAAGAAAGAAAGCAUGAGCAUGGGAGGGGCAGAGAAAGAUAGAGAAUCCAAGGAAGGCUCUGCACUGUCAGUGCAGAGCCUGACGCAGGGCUCAAUCCCAUGAACCGUGAGAUCAUGACCAGAGCCAAAAUCCAGAGUCAGUCACUUGCUUAAGUGACUGAGCCACCCAGGUGCCCUGAGAACUCUGCAAUUUCUAUAUGCAUAAACCAGCUUGGAAAAAUUAUGCAAUUAUGAAGCUAUUCUUGAAAUUGGUUAUUUUAUUAAAUUUGAAUAGACUGGUCCCCAACCAGGAUCAUCAGUUGAAGUGCAUAGAUUAUUGCUGUAGUAUUUACUGGGCAUAUGCAUUUAUUUAGGUAAAAGUUUGGCUAAACUUUAUUCACAUGGAAUUUCUAAAUCCUGCAGUUCCUGGUUUAUCCGUUUAUGUGGAAAAUAAUGGAAACACACAAUUAGGUCCUCCUCCUCCUGCUUCUCUCUUUUUUCCCUACCUACAUUUGCUGUUGCUUACUUUGCUUUUUGCUGGUACCUCUGUCAGUGAAAUCAAAUCUGCCGCUGCGACAAGCAGUAGAACUUCAUGAUGAGAUCAGAUCGAUGGGUGAGUGGAGAGUGAGUCACUGGAGAGGAGUCUGAGAUUGCAAGGGGAUGAGACGGGGAGGGGGGUGGGGGGGAGACAUCUGAAAUGUUCACACAAACAUUAAGUCUUCAGAAUUAGCAGGAAAGAGUGAAAAUAGAAGACAGAAAGUUACAGCAAGAUAGUCAACAGAAAUAUACAUUUUGGCAUUCCAGGUAUGAUUUGAAAAAGGCGAAAAGUUUAUUUUUAAUAAAGAAAAAUCACCUGUAAUUCCCUAAAUCUAGAAAGCAGAAAGUGUCUGUACCUCCCAUGAGGUUAAACCUUUUGUUAUUAGCUAAGAAGUGUUCCUGUUAAGUAUGUCAUUGGAGAGAAAAACAAUUAUCUCUUUUUCUAAAGUAAUGUUUAUGAAAUAAAGGGCAACUGAGUACGAUAAAGUUUCCCCCUCGGAGAUCUAAUAUUUAGCCAAAAUCUUGAUCAGUUUCUUUUGCUCAGGCUGGCAGCCAUUUUUAGCCCCAGUCAGUUCUCAUUGACCUGACUUGGGAUAACUGCUAAACCCAAUGUCAGUUUUCAGUCCUUAUCUUAUCUGACCUGUCAGCCACAUGUGACCCAGUUGAUCACUCCCUUCAUCUUGAGACACCCCUUCACUCGGUUUCCAACAUACUCUGUGCUCUCCUGGCUUUCUUUCCUCUCCUCAGUCUCCUCUGCUGGUUAUUAUUUUAUUUACCCAAUCUCUCAAAGUUGGAGCUCCCCAGGAUCCAGUCCUUAAGCUUAUUUUAUUUUAUUUUAUUUUAUUUUAUUUUAUUUUAUUUUAUUUUAGUAUUAAUCAUACCUGGUGUCAUGGCUUUAAAUACUACCUAUCUUUCUUACACCACACACAAAAAUAAACUCAAAGUAGAUUAAAGACCUAAAUGUGAGACCUGGAACCAUAAAACUCCUAGAAGAAAACAUAGACAGUAACUUCUUUGACAUUGGGCCAUAGAAAAUUAAACUAUUGGGACCAUGCAAAAAUUAAAAUCUUUGCCUAGCAAAGGAAAGCAUCAACAAAAGAAAAAGGCAACUUACUGAAUGGGAGAGGAUAUUUGCAAUUGAUAUAUCCAAUAAAGGAUUACUAUCCAAAAUAUAUAAAGAACUUACACAACUCAGCAGCAGCAAAAAAAACAAAAAAAAACAAAAAAACAAAUAAUUCAAUAAAAAAAUAGGCAGAGGACUGAAUAGACAUUUUAUUAAGAGGACAUGCAGACACAUGAAAAGAUGCUCAACAUCACUCAUCAUCAGGAAAAUGCAAAUCAAACCACUAUGAGAUAUCACCUUAAACCUGUCAGAAUGUCUAAAAUAAAAAACACAAGAAAUAAGUAUUGGUGAAGAUGUGGGGAAAAAAAGGAAACUUUGUACACUGUUGGUAGGAAUGUGAGUUGGUGCAGCCACUGUGGGAGAUAGUAUAGAGGUUCAAAAAAAAAUAAAAAUAAAACUACCAUAUGAUCCAGUAAUUCUGCUACUGGGUAUUUACCUAGAGAAAAAGAAAACACUAAUUAGAAAAAUAUAUACACCCUAUCGCAUAUUAUUGCAGUAUUAUUUAUAAUAGCCAAGAUAUGGAAGCAACCCAAGUGCCCAUCAGUAGAUGAAUACAUAAAGAAGAUGUGGUAUGUAUACAGUGGAAAACUACCCAGCCAUAGAAAAGAAUGAAAUCUUGCCAUUUGCAGCAACAGGGAUGGACGUAGAGGGUAUAACGCUAAGUGAAAUACGUCAGACUGAGAGAGGCAAAUAGCACAUGAUUUCACUCACAUGUAGACUUUAAGAAACAAAACAAAUGAACAAACAGGGAGAAAAAAGAGAGAAAAAAGACUCUUAGAUACAGAGAAUAAACUGGUGGUUGACAGAAGGGAGGUGGGUGGGGGGAUGGGUGAAAUAGGUGAAGGGGAUUAAGAGUAUACUUAUCAUGAGGAGCACCGAGAAAUGCAUAGAAUUGCUGAAUCAUUAUAUUGUAAACCUGAAACUGAUAUAACACCGUAUGUCGAUUAUACUUUGAUUAAAUACAUACAUACAUAUCAUAUACCACUCUCUUUCCCGUUGGACUCUAGACUUGUCCAUCCAACCACCUGCUUUACAUCUUUUCAUGGAGGUCUAAGGGAUUUCUCAAACUUAACGUGCCUGAAAACGCAUUCCUAAUAUCCCCUCUAAGCCUGCUCAUCUCACAACACAUCCCACCUUGAUUUAUGGUAAAUCUUUUUUCCACCUCUCAUGCCAAAAACCCUAAAGUAAUUCUUAAUGCUUCCAUACCACCCAUCUGAAUGCCAGAGAAUCCUGUUGACUUUAUGAUAAAAAUAUAUCUGGAAUUUGACCACUUUGUACCACUGCCAGCCCCACCGCCCUGGUCCUAGCUACAUUAUUUCUUGCCUGGAGUGUUGUAGGUAACCGCUUUCCCUGCUUCCGCCUUUCCUGCUCAUAAACAGUCAGCUCGGUCCUUUAAAAUGGAAGUCACAUGAUGUCACGACUCUGUUUAAGACUUCCCAAUGACCUCCACUUUCACCAGGAAGAGCCAAAAUGUCCCCCACGCAUCUUACCUUUUUGACUUAUGGCUAACUCGUAUUCAUUCUGCCUCAGGCACACGGGCCUCCACACACUGUUCCUUGGACAUGCUGUACAUACCUCUGAUUCAGAACUUGUGCAUUUGCUAUUUUCACAAACACACAGCUUGCCCCUUCAUUUUUCUUGAGGCCAUUAUUCAUAUUUUAUCUGGGGUGAGCUCUUCCCUGACCACCCUAUUGAAAAUGGCCACCCUCUACAUCUUCUCCCCUCCUCCCUGCAUACACUGCAUUUUCUUCCUUAAUUUUCUCUUGUCACCGCCUUCCAACUUCCUGUGUGCUUUACUUAUUUUUCUGUCUCUUUAUGUUAGAAUAUAAGUUCUGUGAGGGUAGGUUCUUUGUUUUGUCCAUUGGUGUAUGCCUAGGACUUAGUGUCUGGCAAGUAGUAGCAUUCAGUUAAUGCUUUUUGAAAAUAAUAAAUGUGUUGAAAAUAAUAAAUGAUGAUUAGUCAAAAGAAAGGAGAUGACCACACAGUGUAUCAUUCCUUGAUGGGAUGAGAAGGGACGUGCAUGUGUGGUGGGAGAGGGGUUUCAGGGACCCAGGCUCGGCAUUAAGGUGGGUUAUCACAUGACAGUAAUCUCCCCUCCGUACUUGGUGGGUCCCAUCACCCACGCCUGAGUCAAAUCAAAACUACUGUCGAGCACUCUUUUUACUAAUGCCGAGGCUAUUUUAACAUUCCAUUAAAAACCAUUUAAAAUACAAAAACAAGGCUGUAUUACUUUAAUUCUGACCUUAUGAGACUCUCAGUUUUAUAACUGUGUAAAGAAAAUGUGGAAAGGUUGAAUAUAUUUGCUGGCCCCAAUCUUUUUAUUACUCAUCUCUAUAAAAGAGGCUUUUAGGGACAUAUUAAAAAGUUUCCAUCUCUCUUGUCUCUUGCCUUCCUUCUCAUCUUCCUUUGUUGCACCCCAAAUGGUCAAAAGCAAGACCCUGAAAGUCUGGAGGAAAUGUGUUCUGGUCAGAGCAGACUGGGGUGAAGCUGGCCUAGAACUUGGGAUCCUGCCUUCAGAACUGCUGCACAAGUUAUUGCUUCUAACAGCAUGAGCUCUUGAGUGUUCAACAUUCCCGAGAACUCAUUUAGCUGUUGUUUCCCCCUAGAAAGGUAAGUUGUCACUUGGAUGCUUUCCUUGUUUGUGCCUUCUCCCAUGUGUCUCUUCGUGUUCGGCUGGAACGAAGAGGAAAGCUCCAGUUCUGAGAACAGGUACCACAACCAUGUAGGCAAAGACACAGAGUGAAGUGUUGUCUGUUAAACUGGAAAGCAGGUAGUUUUUUAGACAAACUGAAAGCCAGUAAUGACUUCAUCCAUUUCCUGUAAUAAGGCAAUAGUCUGACCUUGAGGAACCUAUUAAAGUAUGCUUUCAAACACAGAGGCCAUUUCUAGGGCUCGAGGUAGAGUGGUCGUUACCCUCAACUGUAUUCUGAAACGAGGUAGUUUAUAAACCAUAUGGCAGUUUAUAAAAUCCUAGGAAUAUAAAGCAAAAUCUCCAAAAUCGCCAGGAGUUUUGAAGUUCAAUGUUCAUGCCACGUGAACUCUUUUUUGUUUUAUGUCUUGGCCAUUUAGCAUUCUUUAGAGACACCUGCAUGAUGGAAAUUUAGCAGGGAUUUUGUGCAAAUUUGUUAGUUACAGGCUGGUUGGUUUGUUUUUCUUAAUAGAGGUAUCAAUACAGAUGCAAAGAAGCAAACUACUUUUAUUAAUAUAGAUGCUUCCAAUGGGGCACCUGGAUGGCUGAGUCAGUUAAGUGUCUGACUCUCUGUUUUGGCUUAGGUCAUGAUCUCAUGGUUCCUGAGUUUGAGCCCCACAUCGGGCUCUCUGCUGACAGUGCUGAGCCUUCUUGGGAUUCUCUCUCUGUCUGCUCCUACCCCUGCUCACUCUCUCAAAAUAAAUAAAUAAUAAAUAAAUAAAUAAAUAAAUAAAUAAAUAAAUAAACAAACAAACAUAUACCAAAAUAUAUAAGAUGUCUUAGGGGGGGCUCCUUUCAUCAAUGGAGCUUAAAAUAUGCCCAUCUCUUCAGUUCUUUUUUAUGCAUUUAUUUAACAUUCAAUUUGUUCUCCCUAAGUUGUUCUAUAAUACGGCAACAGGAUAGUAAUAAUAAUAAUAAUGAUGCAUUUAGAAUCAUAAAAUGGUGGCAUGUUUGAGCUCCAGGGGACUUUAGAGAACACCUAGCCCAAUCCUUUAUUUUUACAGAAGAGGAAAAGUAAAGAUGGGCAGUAACUUGCCCAAGGUCUUACACUGAAUUGCUGGCAGAACUGGGCAUUAAAUCUGUCUCCCCAAGUCUCUGUCAGCUGUUCUGAUCAUUAAGUCACAAAGGAGCUAUUUCUCAAAAUGAAGAAAUAAAAUGAAGUUAUUUUUGAAAAUAGCCUUUCUCUAUUUUUCCAAUCGUCCAGAAAAACAAAAAUUAUUACAUACUUUGGAGUAACUAAACAACAAAAUAUUCAAGACCUACUAUAUAUCUAGAGAACCAAAAAUAAAACCAGCAUCUUCCUGUGAUUUCCAUUGCAUGAGACAACAUGGUACUGCUCAUAUAUUUUCAAAACUGUGUUUAUGUUAGAUUCUUAUUAUUGUAUUUAAAUGCUCAACAAGCUUCCUUGAUAUUUCCUGGGCACGUGGAGCCCUGCCGUCCCAUGCCGUGGAAUUUUGCAGUGCUGAAGUUGGUGGCUAGAACCUAGACAAUGGAAAUCUCGGGACACUUUUUCAUUUCUGAUAAACUUGGCACAAUGUUGUGACUCCACUUUGUAAAUAUUUUUGAUGUUUUAAAAUGAGGUGGCAUACUCAAGAAAGCUCAGGGGUCAGUCUUACAGAAGUGCCACUUCUCUUCUCUGGUAUCAGAAAGUUGGAUCCUUCUAGAACCUUUCUUUAUGAGAACCAGAAAGGGUUGGUGGAAAUCUGAACAUUAUAAAGUUAGUAACAUCUUAGUCAAGUGAGUCUGAAUCUACGCUACAGAUUAAGCUAUGUACAGUUUACUAAGCGCUCUAACUAAAGUACACACACAGAUGUGUGAACAAGCUGUUGACAGGAGUCACUACCAGCUGAAAUCUAGGUAAGAUUGCACAACCUUUGAUUUGUGUGGACCAAUUUCCCUAUCCCUUCAAUAUACACACAUUUCCAGGAGACUUGUUUCUUUCAGGCUAUCUUUGGCCCCUAGCUCUUUCUUCUUGAAUCAACUCCAUGCAGGUCAUUUUAUCCUCCUGUGGGUCACAUUCAUGUUCCAUACUGAGUAGAUUCAGAGGUGGAAUUCAUUCUGUUUCUUUUAUUUCUGCACAGGCCACUCAGACAAGACCUUGCAGUUACUGCCAGACCCUACCAAAGAAGAGUUUACAGCACAACAAACAAGCAUCUGGAAACAGCAUAUUAAAAUCCCUCUUCUUAAAAAAUCCAUUGUCCAACUCAGACUCUAACAUCCCUGGUGCCCUCAACUCUCCUGUCUACUUUUCUCCUUCUAUCCAUCUUGAGAGCAAGCCCAACUUCAGUAGUAGUGCUUUUGGUAUUGUCGUCUUAUGUAAUAUUUCGGUUAAUUCUUUGUUUCGUUUUCUCCUUAUGGUCUUGCUUGACUCUAUGCACUAAAAAAACAAAACAAAAACAAAACAGAACAAAGAAAUUAAAACCUGAUCCAAAUCAAACCAAACCAACAACCCAAUGUGCCAUUGAAUUAUUUUUCUAAGUGAAGAAUAUUUCCCCCCUGCAAGGCGCCACUUGUGACACACACACACACACACACACACACACACACACUUAAUUACAGUUAAUGCACAGUUCAAGUAACAUCAUGGUCCUGGUAUUAAUUCUAGUCCUUUCUCAUUAAGAUUGGUGGUGAAUGUUUUAGCCCCAGGUAGCUAAGGGGAAGUUGCCUGCUGUCUUUUAAAUCUGGGUCCUCUUCUUUUAAUGACCUAACUUGAUCAUCUUCAAUCAAUCUCCUUUUUGGAUUUCAUCCAUCUCAAAUGAGCUUCUCCUUCUAUAUGAGCUACUGUACCAAUCACUGAGAGAAUUCAAUUUGUUUGCAAUUGCUUGAGGAUCUGACUUCACUGUACAGUCUUUGGAGUAUAGUUCUAGCUAUUUCUUUUUACAACUUCUAUCCGGUUCUGUGCACAUUAUGGAAGUGCAGUUCUUUUAAGCCCUUUUAUGUACAUAGCAACAUCUGCCUCUGAACUUCCCUGUAGCAAUGGGAAUUUUAGCUACUCUGGCUUUGGCGUGGAAGAAAUAAAUUCCAGGUUGAGUGUUCCUUCAUAAAG